This 1226-nucleotide long non-coding RNA is filed under the name Capra hircus (goat). Its description in RNAcentral is "lncRNA (ENSCHIG00000005930.1)". Lineage: Eukaryota; Metazoa; Chordata; Mammalia; Artiodactyla; Bovidae. The record is from RNAcentral.
AUGCUAAUUGCCUGAGUUUGCAAAGGGGCCAGAAAUCCUAAAAGGUGCCUCAGCCAAAAACCAGGAUCUGACUGAAAAGGAAUUUCUCUCUUCCUGUUUCUGGUUGCACUCCCAGAAGAGGGUUAACAGCUGGUGAUGGGAACCCUCGACUCCGGGCUUCAGUGUCCAGCCACACUGGUGCUUCUUCAACGCCGUUUUCCAGGAUCCUGAGUGGAUCCCUAGGGCCUCAGACCUGCUAUCCGAAUGUUGCUGCUUGAUUCAUAAGGCCCCUGAGAGGGCAGAUAUGGCUGGUCCUCUCCUGUGUCCUCAGCCGCCAGGAGCUCACUCCAGUCCUCCCUCUGUAUCUCUUUUAAAGGUCCUUCCCUCUGGGUUCCAUGCAUCCUCAGAGGCUGCCAUCACCAGGCCAGGCCAGUGAAGGUGACAGGGACGGCCACACCAGAGCUCCUGUGACAGACACCUGUGUGAAUCGGCCCUGUGACGCAGCCCUCCUGGGGGUCCUGCUGCCUAGGUGACUGGCUCUGCAUCUAUAGGACUAAGAAAGAGACUCUGGCUGAAGCUGACCAGAGCCCUGUGAGCAGAGCAUUUCCUGGAGUCUGAAUGGCUAAGGGUCUCGUUUCCCACAUGCAUCCAUACAGUCCUGAAGACCAGCUCCUGUGUGCCCCGGUGCUUGUGCACAGUCUCCAGAACGCUAUGUCCACCCAGCGCCUCCUCUCCACUCUGAAAGCGCCUCUCAGAGUGCAGCCACGUGAGAAGGACAGUCUCCCACGGAAAACCUCGAAGCCUCUCUAAUCGACUAAAACAAAAGAGUGAACCAGGGGAAAGGCAGAUACUGCAGGUUUAAGUUAAACAACUCAAGACUGAAACCACACGGGCCACCUGCCGAGCCUCCUGCUCCUCUGGGCCACUCCUGGGGUACCCUCCCACACCCCAGACUCCUCUACAGCAGCUCGUAUGACAAAGCUACAGGCACCAGUUUGCCGAGAUCUGUGGCAAGCACGGGAUUUUCCCUGUCAACUUAGCCGAUGCUGAUGAGCUGCAGUUAUGAAAUUUGGAGGCAAAGUCCAGACAGCCCUUGAUGCAUACAUUUGUUUCUGGAAAAGUCAACUUCAAAGCCCAAAGUCCAUCUAUGGAAUCCCGAUUCCCCAUUAACACCCACAAUAAAACAGUAAAUACAUUCCAGGGAGAAAGCAGUGAGGGGAGUCAUUUCUCAACUGAGUCCUCAAAGC